This 475-nucleotide ribosomal RNA is filed under the name uncultured organism. RNAcentral describes it as "partial 16S ribosomal RNA". It matches the Rfam family "Bacterial small subunit ribosomal RNA", at positions 334 to 800 of the family's 1533-position model. The record is from RNAcentral.
CACUCCUGCGGGAGGCAGCAGUGGGGAAUAUUGCACAAUGGGCGCAAGCCUGAUGCAGCCAUGCCGCGUGUAUGAAGAAGGCCUUCGGGUUGUAAAGUACUUUCAGCGGGGAGGAAGGCAAUACGGUUAAUAACCGUGUUGAUUGACGUUACCCGCAGAAGAAGCACCGGCUAACUCCGUGCCAGCAGCCGCGGUAAUACGGAGGGUGCAAGCGUUAAUCGGAAUUACUGGGCGUAAAGCGCACGCAGGCGGUCUGUCAAGUCGGAUGUGAAAUCCCCGGGCUCAACCUGGGAACUGCAUUCGAAACUGGCAGGCUUGAGUCUUGUAGAGGGGGGUAGAAUUCCAGGUGUAGCGGUGAAAUGCGUAGAGAUCUGGAGGAAUACCGGUGGCGAAGGCGGCCCCCUGGACAAAGACUGACGCUCAGGUGCGAAAGCGUGGGGAGCAAACAGGAUUAGAUACCCCGGUAGUCCCAUGA